Molecule: ribosomal RNA, 460 nt
Filed under: uncultured bacterium
Lineage: Bacteria
Description: partial 16S ribosomal RNA
Rfam family: Bacterial small subunit ribosomal RNA
Source: RNAcentral
CCUACGGGAGGCAGCAGUGAGGAAUAUUGGUCAAUGGCCGGAAGGCUGAACCAGCCAUGCCGCGUGAAGGUCAGUGCCCUAUGGGCGUUAAACUUCUUUUGUGCGGGAGCAAUAAUGGUCACGUGUGGCCAGACGAGAGUACCGUACGAAUAAGCAUCGGCUAACUCCGUGCCAGCAGCCGCGGUAAUACGGGGGAUGCAAGCGUUAUCAGGAGUGAUGGGGUUUAAAGGGUGCGUAGGCUGUGAGGUAAGUCAGCGGUGAAAUGCCCCCGCUCAACGGGGUGAAGUGCCAUGGAUACUGCCUUGCGGGAAUGUGGAUGCGGUGGGAGGAAUGUGUGGUGUAGCGGUGAAAUGCAUAGAUAUCACACAGAACACCGAUUGCGAAGGCAUCUCACGAAUCCGCGAUUGACGCUGAUGCACGAAAGCGUGGGUAUCAAACAGGAUUAGAUACCCGAGUAGUC